GCAGCUAUGGCCGAGUGGUCUAAGGCGGUGGACUUAAGACCCACUGGGAAACCGCGUGAGUUCGAACCUCACUGGCUGCA
This 80-nucleotide transfer RNA is filed under the name Kwoniella pini CBS 10737. Its description in RNAcentral is "tRNA-Leu (TAA) (tRNA-Leu-TAA-1-1)". It matches the Rfam family "tRNA". Rfam says of the family: Transfer RNA (tRNA) molecules are approximately 80 nucleotides in length. Their secondary structure includes four short double-helical elements and three loops (D, anti-codon, and T loops). Further hydrogen bonds mediate the characteristic L-shaped molecular structure. tRNAs have two regions of fundamental functional importance: the anti-codon, which is responsible for specific mRNA codon recognition, and the 3' end, to which the tRNAs corresponding amino acid is attached (by aminoacyl-tRNA synthetases). tRNAs cope with the degeneracy of the genetic code in two manners: having more than one tRNA (with a specific anti-codon) for a particular amino acid; and 'wobble' base-pairing, i.e. permitting non-standard base-pairing at the 3rd anti-codon position. The record is from RNAcentral. Lineage: Eukaryota; Fungi; Basidiomycota; Tremellomycetes; Tremellales; Cryptococcaceae. RNAcentral also lists the same sequence under 5 other names.